Molecule: long non-coding RNA, 886 nt
Filed under: Mustela putorius furo (domestic ferret)
Lineage: Eukaryota; Metazoa; Chordata; Mammalia; Carnivora; Mustelidae
Description: lncRNA (ENSMPUG00000030521.1)
Source: RNAcentral
CUCAGCUGGUAGAGCAUGCAAUUCUUGACCUCAUGGUCGUGAGUUCAAGCCCUAUGUUGGGUGUAGAGCUUACUUAAAGAUAAAAAAAAGAAAGAAAGAAAGAAAGAAAGAAAAAGCUCCCUCUGGCUAUGGGGCAGCAGGAGCUUGGGCAGAGGUGAGCAAAGCUAAAGGUCAAGGACCCAUCCGGGGACAGUUGCGGUGGCCAGUGACAUGUCAGGAGGUUCGGGCCAAUGGUCAGGGGAUGAAAAGAACAUUCAGGUGGCAGGACCUAUGGGGCCUGAGGCCCAGCAGCUCAGGAAGGUGGCGCAGCGCUUCUGGACUGGCAUGGGGGAGGGAUCCUCUAGAAUCUAGACAGAAUCUUGAUGGAACAAAGGUUGCAAACUGCUGGCCAAGGAUGGCAUCCAGCCCAUGGAAGAAUCUGUUCUGGGUUUUGGCAUCAUUUGAAUUAAUUGCCAACAGAAGAUCUCUGGCUUCUUGCAACAAAUCCACGGCUCUCAUCGGAUCAGCUUCCGGGCUGGGGGCCCUUCAGUUACUGGAUUUGCAGCCUCUGGGGAAGCUGAUUCAAAGAUCCUCCCCAAGUGUGCCAACAUGCCAGCCAUGUGAGCCCACCAUCUUGGAAGCAGAUCCUCUCGCCCCCUGUUGAGCAGAGCUGAGACGCCGCCUGCAAGCUGUGUUCUAAUUGCACACAUGUGAGCCAGUGACAAAUCUUGUUGUUUUAUACCGCGACGUUUUGGAGGGGCUGGUUCCACACGAAGAGUUCCCUGGAACGAACCUCAUGAAGACAGUCUCCUCAUUCUGCACACGAGAAACUCGGGCAAGGAAGGCGGAACCAGUUCGCCCAAGGUCUCCCAGCCGUCCGUGGGACACCCGGCCUUGGAAAUAAGCC